Molecule: ribosomal RNA, 435 nt
Filed under: Chromodoris aff. aspersa CASIZ 192285
Lineage: Eukaryota; Metazoa; Mollusca; Gastropoda; Nudibranchia; Chromodorididae
Description: partial 16S ribosomal RNA
Rfam family: Archaeal large subunit ribosomal RNA
Source: RNAcentral
AGCCUCUGGAAACGAUUAGAGGUUAUACCUGCCCAAUGUUACAUAUUAAUGGCCGCGGUACUCUGACCGUGCUAAGGUAGCACAAUCAAUUGGCCCUUAAUUAGGGUCAGGUAUGAAUGGAGUUACGGGGUUUAGCUGUCUCCUAAUUACUUCUUUGAAGUUGCUGAGUAGGUGAAAAAGCCUAUAUAAAGAAAAAAGACGAGAAGACCCUUAGAGUUUUACUUAAAAAGGAAGAGUUUCCUAACUGGUUUUGUUGGGGCAACAUAGGAAGAGAUAAAACCUCCUAAAAUAUAUAUACCGAUGUUUUUAAAUUUGAAUAAACUACCUUAGGGAUAACAGCAUAAUUUUAAAAAUAAGUUUGUGACCUCGAUGUUGGACUAGGGAACUGAAGGGCUAGUCGCCUUUUAGUAAGGUUCUGUUCGAACUAUUAUUCCU